AUUCCUCUGCUCCAGCAUCCAGCAGCAUCCACUCCCGGGCCAGCUGAGAGCAGAGCACGCGGCAGCCCGGAGAGCAGCUCUGCAGAGCCACCCCCUGUGCCUCCCAGACUGCAGCUGAACCAGUUCUUACUCAGGUGCAGGUUGUGUCCUCUCUUUGCUCAUGCGGAAGAAAACUACUCCAACACAAAGCAAGAACAAGAUGUAUUUCUCCCGUCCUUUUAUCUAAGGCAUUUGCUGAAAUGACAUUGAAAGUUUGCAAGCGAUCACAGUGUAUCUCCAAAAAAGGCCUAAACAGUCAACCCAACCAUGAAAUCCAUCAGAAGGCUUAUCCUGCAAAGCACUUCAGGCUGCUUCAACACUUGAAAAGAGGCCACGUGAGCAAAUGGCCCAAUUAUCUCCUAUAGUACUUCAUGCCUUUCUGAACUUCAAAUAGGAUGAGAUUUCUGCUCCAGCUCUCUACUUUCUGUUGUAGGGAGUCCCUCUGGGCUCUGUUCAGAUACUUCAAUAUCCAGAAUCAAGGUGAUGUAUUUACAUGUAAAAUUAAAGA
Long non-coding RNA from Pipra filicauda (Wire-tailed manakin), 547 nucleotides. RefSeq lists it as uncharacterized. Lineage: Eukaryota; Metazoa; Chordata; Aves; Passeriformes; Pipridae. The record is from RefSeq and is a predicted model, not a curated record. The transcript has 3 exons.